RNAcentral lists this ribosomal RNA (254 nucleotides) under uncultured bacterium. RNAcentral's name for it is "partial 16S ribosomal RNA". It matches the Rfam family "Bacterial small subunit ribosomal RNA", at positions 524 to 776 of the family's 1533-position model. The record is from RNAcentral.
UACGGGGGGAGCAAGCGUUGUUCGGAUUUACUGGGCGUAAAGGGCGCGUAGGCGGCCAGCGCAAGUCAGUUGUGAAAUCUCCGGGCUUAACUCGGAAAGGUCAACUGAUACUGCGCGGCUAGAGUGCAGAAGGGGCAACUGGAAUUCUCGGUGUAGCGGUGAAAUGCGUAGAUAUCGAGAGGAACACCUGCGGCGAAGGCGGGUUGCUGGGCUGACACUGACGCUGAUGCGCGAAAGCCAGGGGAGCGAAUGGG